UACGGAGGGGGUUAGCGUUGUUCGGAAUUACUGGGCGAAAAGCGCACGUAGGCGGACUAUUAAGUCAGGGGUGAAAUCCCGGGGCUCAACCCCGGAACUGCCCUUGAUACUGGCAGUCUAGAGUUCGAGAGAGGUGAGCGGAAUUCCGAGUGUAGAGGUGAAAUUCGUAGAUAUUCGGAGGAACACCAGUGGCGAAGGCGGCUCACUGGCUCGAUACUGACGCUGAGGUGCGAAAGUGUGGGGAGCAAACAGG
Molecule: ribosomal RNA, 253 nt
Filed under: uncultured bacterium
Lineage: Bacteria
Description: partial 16S ribosomal RNA
Rfam family: Bacterial small subunit ribosomal RNA
Source: RNAcentral